AGCGAAGAGAGCGGGAGAGAAGGAAAAAAAAAGGAAAAGAAGUGGGAAAAGAGGCAGCACUACUGCAGAGAGUGGAGCGCCCUAGUGUCAUGAAUUGCAAGCACAGUACGGAUAGGAGUUUCGGAAUUCAGUGUUGGCCCCACAUCAAAUUAAAGCCCAUGAUCCUGAUCAUCGAAGGAUCAUUCCGUCAGACAUAAUAGCCGAGUUGAGGGCGCGGAAAGCUGCACAGCACCGCAGCAGCCACCACAGGACCCAUCACAGCCCGCUGCUGCUGCAGCUUCGCCAUCGCAGCCCGAGGCGCAGACUGGACCGGCACGGGCGGCAGCGAAGAGAGCGGGAGAGAAGGAAAAAAAAAGGAAAAGAAGUGGGAAAAGAGGCAGCACUACUGCAGAGAGUGGAGCGCCCUAGUGUCAUGAAUUGCAAGCACAGUACGGAUAGGAGUUUCGGAAUUCAGUGUUGGCCCCACAUCAAAUUAAAGCCCAUGAUCCUGAUCAUCGAAGGAUCAUUCCGGUAGACAUAAUAGCCGAGUUGAGGGCGCGGAAAGCUGCACAGCACCGCAGCAGCCACCACAGGAGCCAUCACAGCCCGCUGCUGCUGCAGCUUCGCCAUCGCAGCCCGCAUCGCAGAUUAGACCGGCACGGGUGGCAGCGAAGAGAGCGGGAGAGAAGGAAAAAAAAAGGAAAAGAAGUGGGAAAAGGUAAGAGACGCGAGUAUUAUGAACAAAAACGGAACCAUCGCCGCUGUCACAAAGAUCUCAUCGAUCA
Long non-coding RNA from Athalia rosae (coleseed sawfly), 764 nucleotides. RefSeq lists it as uncharacterized. The transcript is spliced from 3 exons. The record is from RefSeq and is a predicted model, not a curated record. NCBI's taxonomy places the organism in Eukaryota, Metazoa, Arthropoda, Insecta, Hymenoptera, Athaliidae.